This 205-nucleotide ribosomal RNA is filed under the name uncultured bacterium. Its description in RNAcentral is "partial 16S ribosomal RNA". It matches the Rfam family "Bacterial small subunit ribosomal RNA", at positions 1298 to 1500 of the family's 1533-position model. The record is from RNAcentral.
UUGCAGGCUGAAAUUACGCCUGCAUGAAGCCGGAAUUGCUAGUAAUGGCAGGUCAGCAUACUGCCGUGAAUACGUUCCCGGGCCUUGUACACACCGCCCGUCACACCAUGAGAGUUGGGGAUACCCAAAGCCCGUGAGCCAACAUUAAAUGAGGCAGCGGUCUAAGGUAGAAUCAAUGAUUGGGGUGAAGUCGUAACAAGGUAAC